UGUGGAAAGCAAGGGAUGCAUGCCGAAAAGCGGGGCUGCAAUGCAAGGUGAUGGAUUAAGGGAUUGCACAUAAAGAAAUAAGCAAAUAAAACAUACGGUACGAAGGAAGAAAGGGGGACUGUUGCAAAAAAGGGGGGCUAUGCUACAAAAGGAAUAGGAGUAGGAAAAAAAAUGGAGCACGCUGUGAAAUGUAAAGGGCUGCCGUGCAGAAACGGGUGCGGGGCAAAAGGCCUCGAGGUUCUGCCCGCUCCUCUCCAUCCAAGGCCAGGAGAAGGCAAACCCAGCGCCGUCCCUCACUGCAGUCAGCACGUAACAAAGUCAUUGCGGUGCGGGCAGACCGGGCCCUGCGUGGCAGAGCCUUUUAUUAGCCUAUAGCGCUGUUUAUCUGCAACGACUCCAAAGUUCAGUGCUGGAUGAGCCCCGCGGGUUGGCUGUGCUCCAGGCUAAGGCAAUGGAAGGAGCUCACCACAUCUCGCUCCCUGUCGGCCGCGCUCGCCGUGCUUACCCAGCCCUUCCCCUGACCAAACUGCCCUUUGAGUUGGAAGGUGCCCACAAGGAUCGAGUCCAGCAACACCGUCCCGGCCAUGGAGCUAUAGGUCACUUCCCUUUGCAAAUCUCUCCAUUUAAUCAGCCCUCUGACGCACGUCGGUCUGAGCCUCGGCAAACCUGAGCCUUAUCCCCGGCUCUGCCUGUAAUCCCACUGUAGCCCCGUGCCUCAGUUUCCCCCGUGCUGGUGGCUGUGAAGCUGCUCUGCCCAAUGGAGAUGGACUGAUUGAAAGUAUAAAAAAGCAAUAACCUCUUGCAUGCAAACCAUCUAUUAGUUAAACGUGUGACCAAGCCACGCACACGCAAGGAAAAGCACUGCAACGUGCUCUAUUAUACAUUUCUCCAUGGAAAUGGGCUCAGCUCUUUGUUUUAACCAGCCAGAAGCCCCAAGAGCAGGAACUGCUUGUCUAUACCUUCCUUAAGGGAUUCCAUUCUGGAGAGAAAGGAACCUCUCCUUCCCCAAACCAUGCACCAGCUGGCUUUUCCACACCAAGCUUUCCCCUAGCCAGGUAAGCAUGCCUCCUGUGACAGCACUGCCAAUCAUUUUCCUCCCUCCCUGCCAGGGAAGCACCUCCGAGGGACAAGAAAAAGCCACGCAGUCUCCCAGGUCCUUCAAAGAAACCUCACACAGGGUCACUGCUGUCACACUGCGGGCAGCCUGGCUGGAAGGACAUCCACAGGAAAGGAGCUGUCACAGACAAAGCCUGCAGAUGGAAGAAAAGGUUGAAAUUAGUACUUAAAAUGCUCCGUUUACAUGAAAAGCCAGCUGAAACAGGAGCGCAAAGCCCGGCCCAUGGUGCAGAACAAAGCUCUGCAUCGUUCCAGUGCUUCUAGUGUGCUUUGGGGGGAAGCUGUUCCCAGUUGCAACACACAGCCACGCUUGGGCAGUGCUGCUGUAACCAGAUCCCUCUCUCAUCUGAAGCUUUUCAAGAACACAGAUUGGAGAGAGCGUGACCUGCGUCUCAGAAGGCCAAGGGGACCUCAGUAAAGGAGGUGGCAGCAACCGGUGUCAUCCUGGUCACUGCACGAGGACCUGUGUGCAGCCUGCUGGCCUGUCCUGCUGACAGCAAGCUUGGGAGCAAGCAUCAAAGGUCAACACUUGAUCCUGCACCCCUCCUACUCAAACGGCCAAGAACAGGAGACUCCAUCCAGCUGCUCUCCAUCACCCAUCAUCUCACCCACCAGCACACGCCAGGGCAGAGCCCAGGGCUCCGCAGGGCACUGUUUAAUUGCUCACCCACACGGGUAGCGCUCCAAGUCUUCACGAUGUGUUAACUCUGUCCCUUUGAGUCACUGCAUCAGCUGUACCAGGAUUCUCUGACUCCUUUUCAAGCACUGCUCCCAGCCAGACUCCAUGCUGUUCUCAUCCACACAACGCAGGGGAUGAGAGCUGCUGCAAAAUAAUGCCACUGUGGCCAAUGGCUGAGCAUCAGUUACCUUCUGCAGCACAGCAAACGCAGCUCAGGAGCUCCUGGAAUUUGGUUUAUGCUGAACCCAUUUGUGUAUAUAUAUAUAUAUAUAAAAGCACACUUCCGUUUUCAAAAUACGUUGCUACCCAAAAAUAGAUGUUUCUUCAACAGCAGAGCACGGAGCAAUUGCUAAGCCAUGCAAGCAAAACACCAUGUACAGCCAGAGGACUGCAAAAGAACUCACUCUUGCUUACUGCAUAGUAGAAUUUUUUGGAAUUAAUACCUGAUUUUUCACCCACUGUGGAAAAAAAAAUAGGAACAUUACAGCGCCAGCUUCUGCCCUGGUUCCUUUUGCCCCCAAACAUCUCUGCAAUCACAUCCUGAAGUGCUGUACCUGCUAGUUUUUUUUCCAAACAUGAAGCAUUUCAUCCUCUAGGCAGAGGGCUUCAGUCUUCCAGGCUGUGAAACAGAACAUUUCAGGGGAAUAAGAUGAAAAAAAAGAAAAGCCCCCCAGCCCCACCUGAUUUGACUACUGCAAAGGAUACAAACCUCCUGGGAGUGGAGAGAUCACUGUAUCCUGUAUGUUGCCAUGUUUAACACACAGCUGCAGGGCGUUACCUCUCCAUGAAAAGGCCCACGUGCAAUGCCCAGCAGGAAUGACAGAAAUCACGCUGGAGAAGUCACAGGACAAGGGUUUAAAACAGUGCAACUCUGUGAGUUGAAGGCUGCUCUUCUUCACAUCCCCAAUCACAUCUGAUUGUCAUGCCCAGAGCAAAAUAAAUAGCAAGCCAGCUAUCUUCAA
This is a long non-coding RNA of Gallus gallus (chicken), 2757 nucleotides long. RefSeq lists it as uncharacterized. The transcript has 2 exons. The record is from RefSeq and is a predicted model, not a curated record. NCBI's taxonomy places the organism in Eukaryota, Metazoa, Chordata, Aves, Galliformes, Phasianidae.